UUGAAUUUAAACAAAGGGUAUUUAGGUUGUAGCUGGCUCCAUUAGUUUGGAGCAUGUGCACACCUUUUGCUCUUUUUUUAAUCCACACACACCUGUGAACCUGUGAGGCAGAGACAUGGAUGGGAAAACUUUCAUUUGAUUUAAAUAAAUAAAUGAUUGGGACCCCUACCCCCCCUCUGUCUACUCAAAUCUAAUAUAAACCCAAUUUAUUUUAAAAUGAAUGUAAUGGAUGUAACGCAUCUAAUAC
This 247-nucleotide unclassified non-coding RNA is filed under the name soil metagenome. RNAcentral's name for it is "partial internal transcribed spacer 1". The record is from RNAcentral.